Cyprinus carpio carpio is the source of this 1345-nucleotide long non-coding RNA. The record is from Ensembl. NCBI's taxonomy places the organism in Eukaryota, Metazoa, Chordata, Actinopteri, Cypriniformes, Cyprinidae.
ACCGUGACAAGAAUCAGUAGCAAGGUGAUUUAGUGGUGAAGGAUGAUUCAGUCAGUUAUUUACAGAUAAUCAUGGUCACUGACCAAACAAACACACUAAACGUGUCAGGCACACAGAGUGAAGGCGAGUGGAGAAGGGAAACGUAGAGGGGUGUGUUGAAGCAUGCACCUCCCUUUCCUCUGAUCUUUAUUAGUUCUGACACUGAAGUCUCAUCUUUCAAAACUCCAAACUGACAGCGAACUCUAAGCUCUACUGAACACCCUCUGGAUUCACACAGAGAUUCCUCACCAGCGACCGGGAUGUGGAUUAUGCUUUUGGGACUCGCCUCUGGAUUACUGGUCUCCUCGAGAUCAGAAGAUACCACAGGUAAGAAAAGCCACCACAGGAACAUUAUACAUCUGACUUUAUCGACUACGAAUUUUACAGAGUAUGAAUGGAGUAGUGUCUGUAUGCCUGAGUACAGAUAAACAGCUGCUCAACAGCUGCCCUGAAGAAAGACAGAUACAAUGAACACCAGUAAAGAGCCAGAGGAGUUUAAGCUGUUUGAAAAGCGAGUGAAAGAAAGGAAGAAAGAUGGGGAAUGACUAAUGGCUGGUUUCAGAUUUUCCUUAAAAAAAAUAAAAUAAAAAAUAAAAAUAUAUAUACAACAGUCCACACACACACACAUAAAAAUGUUCAUCUAGUGUUGUAGCAUCUCUGAGUGUUGUCAUGCAAGCAAGAAAUGAAAGCUCCUCCAAAAAUGCACUCUUUUCAUAAACAGUUACUUUGGUAACAUUUUGUUCUGAAGUUUGUCACAUGUAACAUUAGUUCUUGAAGCUUUGACGGCUGACUCGACACACUUGAGUGGAUAAAUCUGAUAAACCUUGCUGCUAUGGUGUAUUAUUUUAUCUCUUCUUCACAUCUUAAAUCCAUUCUGAGGUUAUCUGUGAUUGAACUAUUGAUGAAAGCAAUACCAGUGAAUACCUAAAUGGAGAACAAAAUGAAACUCGCUCGUGUCCGCCAAAACGAACGCCGGACGCUCUGCAGAAAACGCCCAGCUGGGAGCGUGUUUUCAGUAGAGAUGCGGUUGCUAAAGUUUCAUCUUUGGAACACAGCGAAAUAUGAAAACUUUUCGCAUGUGCUUGCGAUUCCGGUCUGGCGCAUUCGCAUAGAAUGGAAGCUAAUGGAACAAAAAGUGUAGUGUGACCGCGGCUGGACACGGAAUAUCCGCUCAAGUAACGAGGCGGACUCAUCCAGCGGCGGACCGGCCAUCUGUCCAUCACCCGUCCCUUAAAAUACGGAAUCGUCCCGUAUCUGAUCAAAACGGGACGCGAUUUGUCCCGUAUUUUACAAAGGGCAACACAUA